UUUUUUCUUAUUAGUUUGGUUAUUUGUGAAAGUUGUAGGGCAGUUCUGAGCGAAGUGACAUAUCUUAUCACAUUGGUAACACUCAACCUUUGAUGCGUCUCUCUCUUGCCGAUGAUAUCCGUUUUGUUGAUAUCGAAAUCUACAACGACCUCUUCCUCGAUAUCCAUACCGACCGCCUCUUCCCGAAUCAUACCUCUCC
Molecule: long non-coding RNA, 199 nt
Filed under: Brassica napus (rape)
Lineage: Eukaryota; Viridiplantae; Streptophyta; Magnoliopsida; Brassicales; Brassicaceae
Description: long non-coding RNA (BNAP_LNC016081)
Source: RNAcentral